RNAcentral lists this ribosomal RNA (499 nucleotides) under uncultured bacterium. RNAcentral's name for it is "bacterial SSU rRNA". It matches the Rfam family "Bacterial small subunit ribosomal RNA", at positions 1 to 495 of the family's 1533-position model. The record is from RNAcentral.
GAUUAGAGUUUGAUCCUGGCUCAGGAUGAACGCUAGCGGCAGGCCUAACCCAUGCAAGUCGAGGGGGCAGCAUAGAAAUAGCUUGCUAUUUUGGUGGCGGCCGGCGCCCCGGGUGCGUAACGCGUAUGCAACCUACCCUGUACUGAGGUAUAGCCCGGAGAAAUUCGGAUUAAUCCCUCAUAGUAUUAUUGAAUCGCAUGGUUUAAUAAUUAAAGGAUACGGUACAGGAUGGGCAUGCGUCCUAUUAGCUAGUUGGUACGGUAACGGCGUACCAAGGCGACGAUAGGUAGGGGGCCUGAGAGGGUGGUCCCCCACACUGGUACUGAGACACGGACCAGACUCCUACGGGAGGCAGCAGUGAGGAAUAUUGGUCAAUGGGCGCAAGCCUGAACCAGCCAUGCCGCGUGCAGGAAGAAUGCCCUAUGGGUUGUAAACUGCUUUUAUUUGGGAAUAAACCUCUUUACGUGUAGAGAGCUGAAGGUACCAAAGAAUAGCACCG